GGAGAGGUGGCAGAGCGGUUGAUUGUGGCAGUCUCGAAAACUGUUGAGGGUAACACCUCCGGGGGUUCGAAUCCCCCCCUCUCCGCCA
Molecule: transfer RNA, 88 nt
Filed under: Bacteroidota bacterium
Lineage: Bacteria; Pseudomonadati; Bacteroidota
Description: tRNA-Ser
Rfam family: tRNA
About the family: Transfer RNA (tRNA) molecules are approximately 80 nucleotides in length. Their secondary structure includes four short double-helical elements and three loops (D, anti-codon, and T loops).
Source: RNAcentral